Molecule: ribosomal RNA, 58 nt
Filed under: Oenococcus oeni
Lineage: Bacteria; Bacillati; Bacillota; Bacilli; Lactobacillales; Lactobacillaceae
Description: partial 23S ribosomal RNA
Source: RNAcentral
GAUAGGUUAAGUUAAUAAGGGCGCAUGGUGGAUGCCUUGGCACUAGAAGGCGAUGAAG